RNAcentral lists this ribosomal RNA (468 nucleotides) under uncultured bacterium. Its description in RNAcentral is "partial 16S ribosomal RNA". It matches the Rfam family "Bacterial small subunit ribosomal RNA", at positions 28 to 507 of the family's 1533-position model. The record is from RNAcentral.
GACGAACGCUGGCGGCGUGCUUAACACAUGCAAGUCGAACGGAAAGGCCCUGCUUUUGUGGGGUGCUCGAGUGGCGAACGGGUGAGUAACACGUGAGUAACCUGCCCUUGACUUUGGGAUAACUUCAGGAAACUGGGGCUAAUACCGGAUAGGAGCUCCUGCUGCAUGGUGGGGGUUGGAAAGUUUCGGCGGUUGGGGAUGGACUCGCGGCUUAUCAGCUUGUUGGUGGGGUAGUGGCUUACCAAGGCUUUGGCGGGUAGCCGGCCUGAGAGGUGGACCGGCGACAUUGGGACUGAGAGACGGACCAGACUCCUACGGGAGGCAGCAGUGGAGAAUAUUGCACAAUGGGCGGAAGCCUGAUGCAGCAGCGCCGCGUGCGUGAUGACGGCCUUCGGGUUGUAAACCGCUUUCGCCUGUGACGAAGCGUGAGUGACGGUAAUGGGUAAAGAAGCACCGGCUAACUACGUG